Molecule: long non-coding RNA, 2214 nt
Organism: Hylaeus anthracinus
Lineage: Eukaryota; Metazoa; Arthropoda; Insecta; Hymenoptera; Colletidae
Exons: 4
Source: RefSeq, a predicted model, not a curated record
AUUCUCGACUCCGUUAGCUGAUGAAUCAAGAAGGCUCGGUGCGCUUCGACUCGGCGAUUCCAUCGUUUAGAACUUGCCGGAAUGAAUUUAAUAUAACCGCUAAGGAGCGGAGAUACUUUACUCCGAAGAGGAAAAGUUUGUAAGCACCAAUUUAUCUUCGAUGCAUAGCGCGGAGAAAUUUACCGCAGCCUCGUGAAAGUUGAUCCACUAGUAUGUACAUUAAUUCAUACAGUCUCGGUAAUCCUCCCUGAACAGCAUGGGUACCGUGUUGUGUUUCCAUUACAUCAGGGGUCGGCAAAUUUUUUCUGAAGAGGGCCGAUAUUAAAAAUGUUGGGCUUUGCGGACCAAGAGGUAAUGUCGCGGAAAUUAUUCAUAACACUUAUACGUAACAUGCAGGACAAAGUUUAUAUCGUUUUUGUAUUAUCAGUAUACAAGAACGUUAUUGCAUAUGAACAAAUAUAUCAACGUUCUUCAUUAUUAAUAGUUCAUUAUUAAUCGAUUGUAAAUGUUCAUCUUAUUUCCCUUUUAAAAAUCUCAUUUUAUCCAGAACGAUGCAGAUGAGCAGUGUAAAAUAUUUAAAUGGAUCAGAUAAUGGAAGUUUUUGUUUCCAAUGGAUAUUCUCAAAUUCAAUAGAUUGCGAAUAAUAUAAUUUUUUAUAUAAACGUUUACAAUCAGUUUCUGAUCAUCAUCAGGUAUAGAAAAACAUUAGGAAAAACUGUAAAAAAAAAAACUGUAAAUAUGUUUUGGAAUAUUGCAUACAACGAGUAGAGAAAUUGUUUGUAUUUUUGUAUAGACUUCCUCAAUAUGUUCCUACUAACCUCGCAGAGACAUUGUUUGCCGAUCUCUAUAUUACGUUUUAUCUUUCUGAGAAAAGAUUCCAUCUAUUUCUAUCGAUCUCUAAAUUUUAACAAAUAUUUUCAUAAAUCGUACAACCGUCCACUCAAGCUUUAUUUAGAAGAAAUUUAUCCUGGAAAUGCACAAACUGUCGCAUGCACAAAUCGUACCCUCUCGCACAGAGUAAUCGUUUCUGUGCGGUCUGUCGAUUGGUCGUGCAAAUAAAAAUUAAAAUGCCUACCUAUGAGAUUAGAAUUGAACGCAGCCUAAGAGUUAUGAUGCGAUCUCGAGCCGCCCCCUUCGAUAGCAGUUAAGUUUCCAGCCAUGGGCGGUCGAAGGUAAGUAACAGUGUUUGUAACAGGCUAACGAGAUACCUUAAACAACGAACGGACCUAUGGCUGCAAAACGCUCGCGUAAAAUGCUGCGGUUACACAUCAAGCCAUCGGAACGAUAAUUGAAAGUGACCGUACGAGCACGGUCGGGCGCGUAUCGGGCCAGCCAACCACAGCGAAGGCAUCCAAAACGCUGGGCUUCUUUCUGCAGCGUUAAAUAAAAUCCUUGCGGUUUUCAUGCCGAUUUCACUACGGCAUUCGAUGAAGCGCGGCGCCGCACUUCCGCAUUCCGGCGUUUAUCGGGCUGCGCCGUCGGUCAGCGUACUCGGAAAGAAAUUUACGUGCGUCGCCCCGUGCUCUGGUUUCCCCAGCCCCAGGGCGAAAUUAAUCUCCUAUUAACAUUAUUGUCGACUCUCGGACGAACGUGUCCAGAACGACGCUGAUCGAUCUCUUACGAAGCCAAGGAUCUUGAUUUCUUUGGAUAAAAAAUCCAAGGUUUUUGUUGAAGGUGUAUCUUUCUUUUUCCUUGGUUGAAAUGUAAGGUUUUUUGGGAGUUGUAUUCUACAGUUUGAUUGACGUAGAAUUUUCAAUUAACGCGACAGUGUUCAAUCGUAAUGCAUUUAUAGGAAAUUUGGAUGCGCAAGAAGCUACAAAAUGCAUAGAGUACGAAAUAAUAUAAAAAAAAAAUAGUGAAAGUAAAAUCCAUAUCGUAACAUUUGCAGAGUAAAAUAAAUUCCUAUUUAGGACCAAGGUACGUUUGCAAAAAUGUUAUUUAUCCACUGUCUAUAAUCUCCGCCUAUACUCGACAAAGUUCAAGUCUCGAAUUCUCUAAACCGCGAUGCCACUCUUCUCGAUUAAAACAAACAACAUCCAACAAUUUCCUUGAUCGAUCACGACCAAUUUUGACUUUCGCGUGAUAUAACGUGUUUCCUAACACGCGUUCCUGAAAAUGACUCAUUUUAUCACCCCAACAAAACCGGAAUCCAGGCUGAAGAUUGUUGUCGAGCCUCGAGGCGACGCACGGCGUACGCGAUCGACCGUAAUCGGA